RNAcentral lists this ribosomal RNA (498 nucleotides) under uncultured bacterium. RNAcentral describes it as "partial 16S ribosomal RNA". It matches the Rfam family "Bacterial small subunit ribosomal RNA", at positions 28 to 507 of the family's 1533-position model. The record is from RNAcentral.
GAUGAACGCUGGCGGCGUGCCUAAUACAUGCAAGUCGAGCGAACUUUUGGGAGCUUGCUCCCAAAAGUUAGCGGCGGACGGGUGAGUAACACGUGGGUAACCUGCCUGUAAGACUGGGAUAACUUCGGGAAACCGGAGCUAAUACCGGAUAACAUUGAAGCCCACAUGGCCUUCAAUUAAAAGGUGGCUUUUAGCUACCACUUACAGAUGGACCCGCGGCGCAUUAGCUAGUUGGUGAGGUAACGGCUCACCAAGGCGACGAUGCGUAGCCGACCUGAGAGGGUGAUCGGCCACACUGGGACUGGGACACGGCCCAGACUCCUACGGGAGGCAGCAGUAGGGAAUCUUCCGAAAUGGACGAAAGUCUGACGGAGCAACGCCGCGUGAGCGAAGAAGGCCUUCGGGUCGUAAAGCUCUGUUGUUAGGGAAGAACAAGUAUCGUUCGAAUAGGGCGGUACCUUGACGGUACCUAACCAGAAAGCCACGGCUAACUACGUG